Molecule: unclassified non-coding RNA, 151 nt
Filed under: uncultured Bionectriaceae
Lineage: Eukaryota; Fungi; Ascomycota; Sordariomycetes; Hypocreales
Description: sequence contains ITS1
Source: RNAcentral
CCGAGUUUACAACUCCCAAACCCAUGUGAACAUACCUAUCGUUGCUUCGGCGGGUUCGCCCCGGGCGUCUUGUGCGCCCUGGGUCCGCCGGGGGACACAAACUCUUGUUUUCCUUUAGCAUCUUCUGAGUACUGUUUUUACAAAUAAAUAA